This 675-nucleotide ribosomal RNA is filed under the name Triticum aestivum (bread wheat). RNAcentral describes it as "partial small subunit ribosomal RNA". Lineage: Eukaryota; Viridiplantae; Streptophyta; Magnoliopsida; Poales; Poaceae. The record is from RNAcentral.
UCAAAAAAACACUUGUUUUUUUACUGUGUGGUUGCAAAAAACAUCUGGGGUGCAGUCUCCUCGUUUCUUUCCAUAGAAGUAGGAUCUAGCUACUUUUCCAUUGCCAAAUUUUGGUCUGCUAACAAGAAACAUGAAGUACUUAAUGCAUUUUGUGCUUGUGUCUUGUGGAGCUUGUGGAAAACUAGAAAUAAACAUGUUUUUGACAAUGCAGUCUGGUUUGAUGUUAAACAGAUCUGGUGGCUGAUCUGGAGGACCCUCAAGAGGUGGAUGAUUCUGUACACCAAGAACUCGCUCAAGAAAAUGCAGGGGAUACUGCAUUGGAUAUCCUGCAUACUCAAAGCCCCCCCUCCAAUUGACUUUGGGGUGAAAAGGAACUUGAUGAGAACUGGAGGUGCCACUCAUGCUUCUUUCCUCUCCAAGCUUAAUUUUGGGGCUUGCAAAGAUGGGUUCCAGAGUCCAGACUCCUCAAGGCCGAGUGAUCCACCAUCAAAAAAGGCGAUCCAGGUGACCUCAAGUCCUGCGUCGCCUCUCGACUGGCCUGGCACACCAACUCAACCCCUCAAGAAGAUGAAGGGGGAACUCAUGGAGAAAAUCAAGGAGGUCCGCAUGAUGCUUGCUGCAGAAGACAUGAGGAUGCUGGCUGAUGUAGAUGGAAUGCGGAUCUCACUGCUGUAG